RNAcentral lists this ribosomal RNA (400 nucleotides) under phytoplankton environmental sample. RNAcentral describes it as "partial small subunit ribosomal RNA". It matches the Rfam family "Eukaryotic small subunit ribosomal RNA", at positions 587 to 983 of the family's 1831-position model. The record is from RNAcentral.
AGCUCCAGUAGCGUAUAUUAAAGUUGUUGCAGUUAAAAAGCUCGUAGUUGGAUUUCUGGUACGCUGCGCCUGGCCCGCCGCCUCAUGGUUGGUGUGUGCUGGAGCGCGGUUGCCAUCCUUCUAGAGAACGUUUCUAUCCUUCACUGGACCGGAUUCGCAAUCUAGAUCUUUUACUUUGAAAAAAUUAGAGUGUUUAAAGCAGGCAUUUGCCAUGAAUACAUUAGCAUGGAAUAAUAAUAUAGGACUUUGGUUCUAUUUUGUUGGUUUCUAGGACUAAAGUAAUGAUUGAUAGGGAUAGUUGGGGGUGCUCGUAUUUAGCGGCCAGAGGUGAAAUUCUUGGAUUCGCUAAAGACGAACUUAUGCGAAAGCAUUCACCAAGGAUGUCUUCUUUAAUCAAGAA